GACGAACGCUGGCGGCGUGCUUAACACAUGCGAGUCGAACGGAAAGGCCCUGCUUUUGUGGGGUGCUCGAGUGGCGAACGGGUGAGUAACACGUGAGUAACCUGCCCUUGACUUUGGGAUAACUUCAGGAAACUGGGGCUAAUACCGGAUAGGAGCUCCUGCUGCAUGGUGGGGGUUGGAAAGUUUCGGCGGUUGGGGAUGGACUCGCGGCUUAUCAGCUUGUUGGUGGGGUAGUGGCUUACCAAGGCUUUGACGGGUAGCCGGCCUGAGAGGGUGACCGGCCACAGUGGAACUGAGACACGGUCCAGACUCCUACGGGAGGGAGCAGUAGGGGAGCUUACGCAAUGGGCGAGAGCGUGGCGGAGCAACGCCGCGUGAGUGAUGAAGGUCGUCGGAGCGUAAAACUCUGUUAUUAGGGAAGAAAAAAUGUGUAAGUAACUAUGCACGUCUUGACGGUACCUAAUCAGAAAGCCACGGCUAACUACGUG
RNAcentral lists this ribosomal RNA (488 nucleotides) under uncultured bacterium. Its description in RNAcentral is "partial 16S ribosomal RNA". It matches the Rfam family "Bacterial small subunit ribosomal RNA", at positions 28 to 507 of the family's 1533-position model. The record is from RNAcentral.